This 465-nucleotide ribosomal RNA is filed under the name uncultured bacterium. Its description in RNAcentral is "bacterial SSU rRNA". It matches the Rfam family "Bacterial small subunit ribosomal RNA", at positions 330 to 792 of the family's 1533-position model. The record is from RNAcentral.
GCCAGACUCCUACGGGAGGCAGCAGUGAGGAAUAUUGGUCAAUGGGCGCGAACCUGAACCAGCCAAGUCGCGUGAGGGAUGACGGUCCUACGGAUUGUAAACCUCUUUUGCCGGGGAGCAAGCGUGCGUUCGUGAACGCGCGUCGAGAGUACCCGGAGAAAAAGCAUCGGCUAACUCCGUGCCAGCAGCCGCGGUAAUACGGAGGAUGCGAGCGUUAUCCGGAUUUAUUGGGUUUAAAGGGUGCGUAGGCGGGAUGCCAAGUCAGGGGUAAAAAUGCGGUGCUCACCGCCGUCGAGCCGUUGAAACUGGGUGCCUUGAGUGGGCGAGAAGUACGCGGAAUGCGUGGUGUAGCGGUGAAAUGCAUAGAUAUCACGCAGAACUCCGAUUGCGAAGGCAGCAUACCGGCGCGCAACUGACGCUCAUGCACGAAAGCGUGGGUAUCGAACAGGAUUAGAUACCCGCGUA